UCACCAUGUUGGCCAGGCUGGUCUGGAACUCCUGCCUUCAGGUGAUCCGCCUGCCUAGGCCUCCCAAAGUGCUGGGAUUAUAGGCAUGAGCCACUGCGCCAGGCAGAUUUUGAUUUUUAAAAGAUUGCUCUGUGUACACUGGGCUGUCACAGGAGAGGCAAGGCUGGCACAGGGAGGUCAGUCAGAUGAGAGCAAGUGAAGCCUCCAACCAGGGUCCUUGCCAGGGGUGGAGAUGUUGGCUGUGAAACAGAUUUUGUCUAUAGAUCCGACAGGACUGGAAGGGGCCUCUGAGGACAUGAGUGUUAGACAUAGUGUGUCUUUGAGGACUGGAAACUAGUAUUUAUUUGAGGACUUUCUUUUUCUUCUGUUGUGAAGAGGACCUCAACGAAAAGACGACAGAAAAUAAUGAGCAACGAGAAGAGAUCAUUCGCCUCAAACAAGAGAAAAGUUGCCUGCAUGAUGAAUUGCUUUUUACUGAUUUAUGUAAAACAACAGAGUGAUCUGCAGUUUCUUAAUUUCAAUGUGGAAAAUUCUCAAGAAUUAAUACAGAUGUAUGACUCAAAGAUGGAGGACUCAAAGGCCCUGGACUCCAGGUAAUCUCAGCAAGAUGCAAUUAAUAUGAUCUUGUAUUAUAUUCCAUCAGUCAGUAUUGACUGUG
Molecule: long non-coding RNA, 658 nt
Filed under: Rhinopithecus bieti (black snub-nosed monkey)
Lineage: Eukaryota; Metazoa; Chordata; Mammalia; Primates; Cercopithecidae
Description: lncRNA (ENSRBIG00000045188.1)
Source: RNAcentral